AUAAUACUCCCUCCUUCUGGAAAUAUUUGUCAUUGAAAUAGAUAUAUCUAGAUGUAUUUUUGUUCUAGAUACAUUCAUUUUCAUCCAUUUUAAUGGUAAAUAAUUCCGGACGGAGGGAGUACUGU
Non-coding RNA from Triticum aestivum (bread wheat), 125 nucleotides. Lineage: Eukaryota; Viridiplantae; Streptophyta; Magnoliopsida; Poales; Poaceae. The record is from Rfam.